Molecule: ribosomal RNA, 777 nt
Filed under: uncultured Neocallimastigales
Lineage: Eukaryota; Fungi; Neocallimastigomycota; Neocallimastigomycetes; Neocallimastigales
Description: partial large subunit ribosomal RNA
Rfam family: Eukaryotic large subunit ribosomal RNA
Source: RNAcentral
AUAUCAGUCAUGCAUAGCAUAUCAAUAAGCGGAGGAAAAGAAACUAACAAGGAUUCCCCUAGUAACUGCGAGUGAAGCGGGAAGAGCUCAAAUUUGAAAUCUUAAAAGGUUUUCCUUUUACGAAUUGUAGUUUAAAGAAGUGUUUUCUGUUGAAAUUUUAGUAAAAGUUCUUUGGAAUAGGACAUCAUAGAGGGUGAGAAUCCCGUAUUUGACUAGAAUUUUUCAACUUUGUGAUACACUUUCAAAGAGUCGGAUUGUUUGGGAAUGCAGUCCAAAAUGGGUGGUAAAUUUCAUCUAAAGCUAAAUAUUGGCGAGAGACCGAUAGCGAACAAGUACCGUGAGGGAAAGAUGAAAAGAACUUUGAAAAGAGAGUUAAAUAGUACGUGAAAUUGUCAAAAGGGAAGCGUUUGGCACCAGUGUUGUUUUUCUAAAAAUCAAUUUAAAAUUUACUUAUGUUAAGUAUUUUAGACUUUAUCAGCUAUAUAUUUAAUUUUUUGUAAUUUUUGAAUGCGCUUUUUAGUUAACAAGUCAACAUCAAUUUCUUUUGUUGUAAAAAAAUAAGAGGAAGGUGGCUUGGAAUUUAUUUUCAAGUGUUUAUAGCCUUUUAUUUCUGCAAUAGGAGGGAUUGAGGUCUGCAGCAUAGAUCCUUCGGGGCUAGAUGCAUUUUCGCUAAGAGUCAGUAUUAUAUAAACAACUUGUUGAUUAUGUAGUAUGUUGAUUUUUACUCGGGAGUGUUAUUUUACCUACGCUUAGGAUGUUGACGCAUGAGAUAUACGC